RNAcentral lists this ribosomal RNA (453 nucleotides) under Triticum aestivum (bread wheat). RNAcentral's name for it is "partial small subunit ribosomal RNA". The record is from RNAcentral. Lineage: Eukaryota; Viridiplantae; Streptophyta; Magnoliopsida; Poales; Poaceae.
AUGGUGCGCGUUCAUCGCUAUGCAGAGCCCUGCCAUUCUGGCAGCGUCUUGGGUCAGACACCCAUUACUGGUCGUGCGCACGAGAGGCUGCAGGCUAUAAAACGAAAAACCGCACCCAGUUCACCCACACAUAGGCAAACCUGCUCGGCAAACCUCCCCGUAAUCCAUGCCAUUGCCACGCCCGUGAACGGAACCAGCACAACAGCAGGACAUGAAUACAUGACCUCGACGAUUUCGCCCAUUUUCACGGGGCAAAAGAGGCGGGAGCGCGCGCGGCGCAGCAAGCGGCUGCCCGAUCGAUGCGAACCCGACGAAUCGGCCAGCGGGAGCGACCGGAGAGCCGCGGGGUCCGGACGCGGGAGCGCGAGACCCCGCGCGGGCGACACUGUACAUGUCUGGCCGGCGAGCGUGCGUGCGUGCGUAUGCGCCUUCGUUUGGAGACGGCGCACAUGA